This 2454-nucleotide long non-coding RNA is filed under the name Homo sapiens (human). Its description in RNAcentral is "non-protein coding lnc-FGFR1OP-4:7". The record is from RNAcentral. Lineage: Eukaryota; Metazoa; Chordata; Mammalia; Primates; Hominidae.
CUGAUGAGCCUCAGACGGUGCUGAAACCAGCCGACUCUGCCCAGGAUCCUGAGUCCUGGUUUCCUGUUGACCCUUCCUUCCCUCACGACUUAUUUCCCCUGGGAACUAUCGAUGUUCUUUUGGCCAGUGGGCUUCCGUUGAGGCCAUCCUAAUCAUCAGAGAGGUUUUAGUCGAGUUAAACCUCAAAAGAGAAGGUGUUUCUUAAUUUUCCCAGGGGUGCCCUUGGCCCUGAUACAGAUUUAGCUACCUUCCCCCGAAAGCCUCAAAGUUCUGCAAACUCACAGCCAAGCAAAACGCAGCUGCAGUCGAGCCAGCCUCGAAAGGUCUUACAACUUUCUGCAGUGGCCAGCUUGUUCUCUGUUUCCAUGCCUUCCAGAAUGAAGAAGAUCAGUUCUAAGGUUUCUUACUAUUUCUACCAAGAGACGACCAUCGGCAUUCCACAGACGGCUCCUCUAGCUGUGCACAAUGCCUGUUCUUAUCGUUAUCACCCGCUUCGCGCCAGCGGUUCUCAAUACAAAUUCCUUGAGGUUUCACAGUCACAGAUAGGUUGUAUUUGUAGGGAAACAGAAGUGCUUCAGUGGAAUACUAUUGCUCUUUGUACAGAAACCUGACACCUAGUACUUCUGAAUUCUAAUCCUAGUUCUGUUAACAAUUGGCUUUGUAGCAGCCUAGAUAAAGUCAAAUUAUUUCUCUGUGUAAAAGAAAAACCUAACCAGUAGCAGGGGCACAGUAGUCUAUGUGCCUUCCCUCUGGGCUUGUGGUUAGUCAGCAAUGGGGGCUUUGUGAACUGCGUAGACCAGCACCCCACAGUCUGUUUCAGUUCCAGUUUAUCCCAUUGUCUCACGUGAUCUUGAGUCAUUUAAUCAUUCUGUGCUUUUUCAGCCUUCAGUGUAACAAAAUAAUUUACUAAGCACCUAGCAACUUGGGGUUUGCUUGAGGUUGUUAUAUCUGAUUAGAUAUAUCUCUAUUAGAUAUUAGAUGUGUCUGUACAUGUAAAGUAUGAUACAUUAUAUCCCCACAAGCCAAACAGGCACACGUAAGGCCAGCUUAUAGCAUUGAGAUUUGGAAGACCCCUUAGAAGGUAGAUCAGUGACCAACAACUGGGCAAGAAAUUCCCUUGACAAUGCAGCUGCUUGAGUAGUUUCAGUUUCAGAGCUCUCCUGUGGCAAGUGAAUUAUUGGAUAGUAGUGACUUAUUCAUGUGUUAGAAAGUCCUUCUUUGGAUGAGCUGGUAUCUACGGAAACUUCCCUUAUUCUACUUUUGUCUCUGCACCUAGCAUAGUUCCUGGUACAGUAUAUAAUGAGCCCUCAGAAAAUAUUAGGGGAACUGAGAACAAGACUGUUUUCUUCCACACAGUAGCUCUUUAAAAUUUGAAGGUAGCUCUCAUGUUGCCCCCUAAUUUUCUCAUUUUGGGACUAAACACACUCACUUGCUAUAAUUCUUUAUAGAGGGGUGUGGCCCCCGAUGUGUGGCUGUGGAAAGGCAUGGUCCCCAAUGUGUGACCGUUCAGGUUGCGUUUCUGAACGCAACUCACAUCACUUCUAAGAUAGGGUGUCCAGGUCUGGAAGAAAUGAUCCAUUUCUCUACUGAUGAGCAUAGCAAUCUGUGGGCCUGUUGCUGUCCACGUCUGGAAUACCAGCUAAGGUGGAUUGAUGGUGCCGAUGGCCCCCAUGCAUAGGUUCCUGGCACUCCCAUCCUCUGGGAUGUGGUCCACAGCUCCUCCCAUUGCAGGUGGAGGGUCUGCUUCCCCACCCAAGUCUGCCUUGGCCUGAGACUUGCUUUGACCAGUGGAAUGUGAGCAAAGUGAGGCUGUGCCAGUUCCAGUCUGUGCCACCAGGUCCCUGCUGGAAACCAGCUUCCAUCAUGACAGCAGGCUGGGGCUGGCCUGCAUGAGGGUGACAGAGCACAAGAGGUACAAGAGUUGUUCCUGUCAAGGCCAUUCUGGACCAGCCUGCACUGGCUGACCGAUUGACCAGACAGGGAGUGUGCUGGGCCAGGUCAUAGUGGCCCUAGGACCACCCUGGAGACUUGGGGGCAAUGUUGAAUGGUUAUCACUGUGUGUCACUGAGGUUUUAGGGUUGUUUCUCGGGCAGUGUUGUUUUGGCAAUAGAUAAUUCAUACACCCUACUACUAGCACUGCCCAAGACUGGAUUAUCUGUGACAGGGACUUAUAUCAGACUUGUGACCUAUGACCUUCGUCUGAUCACUUUUAUGUAUACCAAUUUCCCUACCUGUGCCAUCCAACAUGGUAGCCACCAGUCAUGUGUGACUACAGAGUGCUUGAAGCAUGUUAGUCUGAAGUGAGAUGUGCUAUAAAUAUAAACUACACACCUGAUUUUGAAGACUUUCUACAAAAAUCUAAACGAUCUCACUGACAAUUUUUAUUGAUUACAUGUUGAAUGUAUUAUAUUUUAGAUAUAUCAAGUUAAAAUAAAAAUAUUUGGAAAAUUAAUA